Molecule: long non-coding RNA, 926 nt
Organism: Podarcis muralis (Common wall lizard)
Lineage: Eukaryota; Metazoa; Chordata; Lepidosauria; Squamata; Lacertidae
Source: RefSeq, a predicted model, not a curated record
AUUGGGGUUGGAAAAGUGCCUAGUUAGGGACCAGGGAGAAAUAGGGAUUGGGGUUGGCUAUGCAAGGCAACCUGGUUUAAUUCCCCGAGAGAAAGCGCUAUGUGGCAAUGUGCGUGUUUCAAGCACCUACUGGACACUGCCUUGAAAAUAAACAAUUACUGACUGUUUAUGAAUUACCACCCUGGCAUGAAAACGAACCUAUCCCCCCCCCCCCCGUUUUUUAAGGCAAGUGAAUGCAAGGUGUUUCUGUAGCAAUGGCUCACAAACAUUUGCUUUGAAAAUGUUUAGCUCUAUUUUUAUGAUUUUAAAAGCGAAGCUGGAAUGCAUACACCCUGAUAUUUUAAAGGAUGAAUUGCUCUUCUCCAUUAGUUACUUGAGAACCAGAUAUUGCAUGGCUCAAGGCUAGGAGGGCUAUAGUACUAAUAAUAAAAUCCUGUGGUGGUGGUAGAUAUAAUAGAAUCAUAAAUUUGGAAAGGACCCAAUGGACCAUCUAGUCCAACCCCCUGCAAUGCAGAAAUAUGCAGCUGACCCAUACAAGGAUUGAACCUGCAACCUUGGUGUUAUCAGCACCAUGCUCUAACCAACUGAGCUAUCCAGGCAGUGCUAGUAUGUUUGUAUCACCUGGAACAGGAUAAAUUCUCAGAGCACUGAUAACAGCUUCUAGGAACUGGAAUCCAAGAAGAUAACUAGGUUCCCACAAGAGCCUGCCUCUUCAGCUAUAGUUAGCAGCCCCACAGUUAUCUUUCAUCUGGAUGGAGAACCUUAUCAUUAGGUGUUCUUGGGAAAUGAAGAUAAUACCAGUCUUACAAUAUAUCAAAAGUUUUGGCAUUCCACUGGUCAAAUUCUUUAUUUGCUGCCUCCCAUGCUUUAUAAAUUUCAUUUCUUUCAUUUUCAUCAGUGCUGCUAUCAGAUGUGAUGUCGGCUGC